GGGGCCCCACCCUCCCCACCGCCACAGCUGGCCCGGGCGGCCCCCGGCCCCUGCCCCAGCCCCAGCCCGGGAGAACUGGCCGCCUCUCCGGCUGGAGGCGUUGGCGCGGGAGGCCAGGACCAGGGAAGAAAUCCCGGGGAGGGGCCACCGCCUGGGGACUUGAGGCGCGGGUCCUGGAGGUGAGGGCGUCCCUGCCGUGGCCCGUGAUUAGGGAUAGGUUCUCCCGGCCUCGCACUGGGGAGCCUACCCAUUGGAGCCCAGACAACCGGGGCGAGCGUAGGCCUGGGUACCCCGAGCUGGGGCAGCGAGAAUCCUAGCCACUGAAAUGACUUCCCCCACACCCCCAGGUGGAGAGGGGGAGGGGAAGGAAAGCCUGUGCUCCGGAAGAGGGGUUCGGUGUGGGGAGCCGCGUCACUGAGUCACUGGGUACCCUCAGUUCAGGGGUGACCCAGUGUGGAGCCAGGAGGGGGAAGGGAGGGGCCGAAGGGACUGAGUUUCCAGGAGCACAGUUGUUAAGGUAAGCCACAAGGUGGGACACCUGGAGGAGAGCGUUCAUUCGGUGAGCGUGUUUGCCUGCGACAGGGGCACUUAUUAGCUAGCUCCAGAAAAACAGUUGGCUAAACAUUUGUUUUGAAGGAGGCUGAGGAGAAUGAGGAAUGUUAGGACUACUCUCCACACCUCGGGUCAGAUGGCUGAUAGGACCCACCUUCCAGGACAUUGGUUUGAUUUGGCAGAGCUGGAGCCUGUGCUUAGAGGGACAAGAUCUCCUGGCUUCCCAGGCAGAACUGUGAUGGCAUCUCUUGUUCUGGGAAUGGGCGAGUGGCCCCCCUCUGAGGGGGGCGGUUCUCCCCCUUGGGCCCUGAGGGGCCCCAACCUCUGGGAGGUCUGAGCUGAGAGAAUUCCACCACAUCUAACAGCUUCCCCUACUGUUGCCCUGGAGGAGCCUCAGCAUGGCCCAGGUCCCCCUUUCAGUAGGCGGGAGCCCCUGCACUCAGCUCCCACUCCAGGCUUCCACCCUCCCUCCCAACACACCUUCUUUGCCAAGAGAAAAGAGAGAGCAGGUAGAGCCAGCCAGGAAGGACAGAGACCCAUGGUUAAGAGGCAGGCUGUGUUGUCACAUAGACCUGGAGAACUCACUUUGGGACCGUGUGACCUUGAAUACCGCUUAAGCUUUUGAGCUGGCAUUUCUCAUCUGUAGAAUGGGAAUAAUAACAGUACUUACCUGCUGAGGUGCUGUAUGGAUUAAAUGAGAUUAUGUUUGUAAAAGCCCUUAACACAGAGUUGGACGCAUUUGGAGCUUCAUAAAUGUUAGUUGUUACUGUUGUCAUUGUUCUUGAGCUCCUGCCGUCUCCUUCUCCCUUUGCUUCACUAUCUUCAAGGGACUUAGGGGGAAGGAACAGAUACAUCCCUCUUUCUCAGGGGAGCUGUGAGGCAGGCCACUAGGAGUUCUGGAGCUCAGGCUGGGCCACUGCCCGGAAGAGAGAUACCUAUCUGGGAGGGAUGGGCCCAGUCCUAGAAGCCAAGAGAGGAUGGCAUGCCUCUAGGGGAAGGCUCGGGGAAGAGGAGGCACUGGAAGGGCCUGGGAGUGAGCAAGGGAGGGGCUGAGGAAGCAGAUGGGAUAUGGGAACAAAGGGCAGCAUGUUAGCGUUAAAGGAAACUUUCUGAAGCUAUUUUAUGUGUGGGCGUGGCGCCAGGAGCUGCUGAGCUAUCCCAGGGGGCUGUGGGCUGCUGGUGGUCCCUGGACCUUGCCUGAUGAGCAGUAGUUGGCACCCUGGUAUUCUGGCCACAUUUCAACGCCAAGGAGUGACCUAGGUUUCUCCCCUGGAGCACUUUAUUCAUCCCCCUCCUUUCAGAAGCUCUUGGGCUCCUGCUCCGUGUUGUUAGGGGAGCUAGCCUCUCCUAGGAAAGUGUACCCCUUUCCCACAGACAAAUGAGGAAACUGAUGUUUCUGAAAUCCCAAGAUGGCCCGUCUGAGGCUUGUUUUUUCCUUAGGUCCCUUGCCCCCCAAUUGCUAAUCACCAGCCCUUCUCCUUAUGUCUCUUCCACCUUCUCUCUUUUGGGACACCUCCUUCCUGCUAGAGGGGCAAACGUGCAGUUUCCCCUCACAGGUCACAGGGUCAUCCUCAGAGUCCUCUGGGGGCCGAGCACUCUAGAGGAGGUGAAUCAGUGAACUGAGUGCCGGUCUCUCUAUAGCACACUCCCCAUCCCAGCCCCUCAGGGCCCUUGGUGUAUUGACCUAAAACCUGAGCAGGUGCUUCCUCUGCUUCUGAUGGGUGGGGUCUACCUUCUCCCAGGACGCAGAGGACUGUUUAGGAGUUUGGGUUCCAUGAGAAAGAAAAGAAACCUGUCUUUCUUCCCACUCGCCUUUUCAAAAUCUGCCCACUGGGCUUCUUGACUGCGUGGGUUCUGUUUGAAGCUACCUAAGGCACUUGUGAUUCUACCUCAUCUUGGGCAUGUCUUUCAGCAGUAACUACAGCCUAGGGUCAGAGUUGGAUGGUCAAGAAAAGCUUUCCCUGCAGUGAUCCAGAAAGUUUCCCAUGGAGUUGGAAAGGGCAGCCAGGAGGCAAAUCAAGGAGCCAAGAAAAUGGGUACUACCGAGUCAGCGUCAUUAAUUUAUCCGUUCAGGAAAAAUGCAACGGGCCCUGUAGCCAGGGCUGAGACCUGGAAAUUCCAAGAAGAGGAAUACCCGUCGUCACCUCUCUCAAGCUGCUCCAUGCCUAAGACACAUUCUUUUGCCAUGCUGGACAUUGAUCGAGGCACCUUUCCCAGAGAUUUUGGUAAAAUGGGGAAAACGAGGCAUUUCACCAGUUACUGCCAAGUCGGAGUUCAGAUUCUUGGAUUAUGUUGACGUGACCUCAGCUGGCACUUUUGUGAUUUACUGUUGAUGCCAUUUACCCGAAGAGCCUGUGAUGUUCCAGAGAAGGGCCUGCCAGGGAGUAGUGAGGACACCUCCCAGGCCAGCUGAGGCACUGACUGCCCCUCUUCUCUUUAGGCCGCAGGUAGGCAGGUGGCGUGGGCUGGAUCUGUGCCACGAGCCAGCCUUCCCCACACGGCUGUGCCGACCCGGAGAGUCGUGUGCAGGUGGGCAGCCCAUGCCUUAAUGGCCUCUGCUGGUUCCUCACCUGUUAAACUAAUUAAUUAAGGAUUCACUACAAAGCACUGUGCCAGACAUUUUAGAGGCCUAUUUGGUCCGCCUUUUCCUGCACACAGGCAAAAAGAGCUGAGGCCACAACGAGAUCUGGAAGUACUUGGUGAAGCACUCCUCACAGGUCGGGGAUCAAUUAGGAUCGUUGUUACUGUUGGGAAGCUCUUGCGGGCCUUACCAGCAGCUAAAUAAGGAUGCCAGGGUGCAGGAGGCAGCCAGCGACUGGGCAGGGGACCGAGAGUGCUAGUGCUGCAACAGAGUGCUAGAGGAGGCCAGACGAGAGGAGGCCCCGCUGACUAGAAGUGGCAGGGAAGGCUCUAGAAGGAAGGGAGGCUGAGGGGAGGCCUUACGGUGUGGGCUGCUUUUCAGUUCCUGGAGGGGAAGGAGCAGAUGGGAUAACAGGAGCAGAGACGACAGAGGUGGGAAUCCAGUGGGCGUUCAUGGGAUGCUGGGCAGUCUGGCUAGAACAGAAGGGAGUUUUUAGGGGAAGAGUGAGAACAUUCCUCUGCUUAUCUCUCUGUCUCCCAAGGUCUAAGGGCAUGAGGGUGAAACCAAACCUUAUUCCUCUUUGUUUUCAUCAUCCUGGUAUAGGGCCAGGCUCGAGCUUCAGACAUGUUGUUGAAUUAAUGGAUGAAUAAGAGCAGGGGUCCCUGAGGGCCUGGCUCAGAGGGUGGGCCUUGGGCCUCCACAGUGGAACAGAAGAAGGUUCCUGGGUUGGGUGAUGACUUGGUGACAGUGGCACUUGGGUACUGGCAGGGAGCAGGAGUUAAGACCCACAGCGGGGAGACCAGUCAAGGGCCGUGGCGGCAGCUGGGUUCCUCUCUCUGCCAUACACCUCUCCUGUAGCCGCCACACCAGACUCCACACGGGUCCCAUUCUCCUUUCCCUCCGGAAGUGGAGAACCAUUUGAACCAGUUAGGCUGGCAACUUCUGAAAGGGCCUCAUGUGAGCGGGGCUGCCUGCCCCAGCAGGGAGACUGUGUCCCAGCCUAGGUGACAUCUACAUGCAGGGGGCCUUUGGUUCCCUUUCUGCACAGUGGCUAGGAGUGUCACGUGAGCCACUCAUGAAGCUUGACAGGACUGCCAUCCUUGCUCUUCCCAGAGUACACGCGUCACAUGGUCUCCAGACCUUCUUAUUCGAAAGGCCACCUGGGCUCCAAGGACGCUGCCCAGUGAUUUUCCAGUUUGACCGGUUGAACAGCCGCUGUGGCUUCAGGGCUGCUUCCUGGAGCUGGCUUUGCUGGGCAGGAUCCCCUUUCUCUGAAAGUUCUGUGUGAGCUGGCUCUGGCUUGCCUGGGGCUAGGGCCCCAUGACUGAAGGGGAGGGAGCGGGAGUUGGGGGAGGACCUGAGGGCAUGAAUCAGAGCAGGAAUUGAGGGACACCUGCUUAGGCGCUGGGUGCCCUCUGCAGCUUGGGGAUCUGUGCCUGCUGUGGGCGGAGGGGCGCCUCACUACAGGAAGGCUGGGAAGGCUCUGAGAAGUCGAGGGGGGAAAUGGACAGACGGCUGACCUGCAUGAGAUUCCCCAUGGCCUUACCCGGCUCAGCCACCCUCAGGUGCUGAUUUAACAGCUCUUUCCUUAGUCUCCACAUCUGUAAAUUGAAGAGAGUAAUAGACUCUUUCUUAAAGGUCUGUUGUGAGGAUUAUAGAGGCUAAUAGGUGCAAAGCACUUGGCAGAGCCCUCGAUGGAAUGGUAGCUGCUGUGAUUCUGUGAUUAUUACCAUUCUUAUUCUGAUUGUUAUUCGUAGCGCAUAAGAACGUCGUAAAGAUUGAUAUGCUGUCAGCGAUGUCCUUUGAGGCCAAUGCUCACGCAUUCAGUGACUGGGGCGCUAUUCACUGAUACCCCACCACACUAGGUGCCUUCGAGGAGCUGGGGGGUCCAGCAAUGAACAAACAGGACAAAUCAGGGCACCAGCUCCCUCUCUGGGGGGUCACAGGAGUAGGCUCUGGGUUUCGUGUCCAAUUCUGUGCUGGCCUCUGUCCCUGCCCCUUCCCCCUCCCCUCCCCCACCCUUGCUCCAGCAGUGCGAGGCUCUGGGAAGGAAGGAAGGAGUUGGGGAGGAGUGGGGAGACAGGUGACCAGAGAUAGGAUGGGGGCUCUGUCGUGUCACCCUGCCUCAGGCCUCAUUCUGCAUACCCCAUUUCCCAAGGAUGUGAUCCCUGAGAACAGCUCUGAAACCCUCAGAGGCUUUCAUUUCAGCUGCUCUGCACACCUGUGCCACCUUCCCUGCUCCGCAGAACCACCCCCAGCUUGGAAGGCCCAGAUUCCUGGCCCUGCCUCCCUCCUCCUGCUCUCCUCCUGCUCUCCCUUCCUCCCCCGCUCCCCAGGCAUUUCAGUGAUGAGCUUUAUAGCAGGAAAGUCGAUAUUUGGCCAUUACCCUUCUACCCUGAUUGCCAGUUCUUCUCAGAAUGCUUUCUUUUGUAAUCUAAUAUUAGUGCCCGUUUCCCUGAAAAACUGCCAAUUUUCUGCACACGCGUGUGACCUCUCCUUGGCUUUCCUGCCUGGGCAGUGUGCUGUGUCGGGGGCCACGGGGCUCCCUGGACAUUUAACUCCUCCCACUGAGGAGGAGAGGAUUCAGCAUCAGCCUGGUUUUAUAACAGGGGAAACUAAGGCCCCAAGAACACCGAUGACUCACAUCUUGCAUGCAGGUGGCCCAAACUUGAACCCCCUCCUCUGCAAUUUCCCCAGACUGGCUUGGGGCGUGCUCUUGCUUAUCCCGGAAGACCUCUCCACAGGCUGCCAAGCACAGCUUCUCUCCAGUGCACCGAGGGCUCUGGGAUGGAGGGACAUUUGUGCCUCGGCUGUCGGCCAAAUCUGCCUCCUUGACGUGACCCGCUGGAGAACCGUCAGAGGCUCGGAUUGAGAAGUCCGGCUGGGGAAGCUUGGAGGGUGAGAUCUGAGUGUUGCCUGCAUGUUACCAUUUUGAGAGCGUAUUUACAGAGAACUCCUUGACCGGUCACACGCUUGUGCAGAGAACUCCUUGACCGGGGCCCCGUGAUCUGUAGAGAAGGCUGAUAUGACAGUUGGCCCCAAAAUGUGGGUCAUCCCCACCAUGGCUCUCAAAAUUUUUUCUCACUGAUCUUUUCUCCUGGGAUGUUCUGACUUCAUUCAUUCAAUCAUUUAUUCUCUCGUCACCCACACGUUCAUUUUUUCUUUCCUUUAUUCAAUUUUGUUGAAUAAUUUUGUGUAUUAUUAUAUCUGCCUUCCGCCAGGCAGUGCAAAUGUGAAAGGAAUAAGAUGGUGUUUGGCCCUCCAGGAGCUCAGAGUGCAGACAACAUCUGGGAAGUCAGGCAUCCAAACAGACAAGCAGAGCAGUAUGCAAAAGCAGUGUCGGAAUGCUUGGGAAUCACAGAGAGGGGCUAAACUCCUCUGGGGUUGGUAGGCAAAGGCUUUACAGGAGAAGUGAUACUGGGGCGGCUCCUGGAAAACUAAGUGGGGUUCCUCAGGGGGCAGAGGGUGGGGGAGUUGCUGCUGAGGAGACUACCUCAUGAUCUCGGGCUUCUACUAUUCUGGCUGGCUGGGCCAGCUGGUAGUGGCCAGGCCAUGGUCGUACCAGCUCAUGUUCAGCUAGAUCCUUGCUAGGAGUUAGCUCUGUCUGAGGCAGACACAUCGGGAGGCCCUGCCCCGUACCAGAUGCUUGCUCCUGAGGCUCCCAGCCCCAGUCUUUUUCCCUGGGAAACUUCUGCUGCCUGUCAACAUGGCCCUGCAUAGGAAGAGGCUCAGGAGGAGGGGACAGUCUUGGCUGCCUCAGUUGUGCCUCCUGACCACUCAGUAGCAGGCUCCGGGAGGCAAGGCCCAGGUCAGGGGUCUGCCAGAGGGGACCAGAACACGCCUAGCUGAGGGCACACAGCCCAUGUCACAGAGGCCCUAUGUAGGUUUGUGCAUGUGGCAGGGGAAGGGCAAGGGGAAGGGAACUGGAGUGCCCUGAGUACCUACUCAGCGUACCUACUGUGUGCACACGAACAGUUGCGCUUUGCACAUCCAAGCCGUUCAGCCUAGAGAUCCCAUCAUAAAGUGGGGGGCAAGGAGUCCCCAAGUUGGCCUUGCUAGUGUUUGAGAAGUUUCUUGGUACAUUCCUCCGGUUAGAUCCUCCAGUCGAGUUUAUAUGUAUGAAGCUGGGUCCCCCUGAGAGCCCAGAGAAGGGAAGGGCCUUGCUGUGCUUCCAGCCGUACCCCCCGACCCCACCCCCUUCCCCAUCCUUUAUAACAAAGGAAAGAGUAAUGUGGACCCCUCUUCCUUUUCUCUUCCAUGGAACUUCAACUUUGACUGAAGAUGUGUUCCUGCCUGAGGAAUAUUUUCUGUUUCUUCUGCCUGGGGCACUGGUCCCUCAGGUCUUUAUGCUGGUACCUUCUUGUCACUCAGGUCUCUGAUCAAAUGUCACCUACCUUAAAAGGUCAUUGCUGACCAGCCCGUCUAAAGCAGCUUUCACAUGGAUCUCCUUACUGUCUAUUCCAUUAUUCUGCUUUGGCCCCUUAACAUCACUCUGAAAGUUUUGAUUAGUUUGCUUAUUACCUGUCCUCCCCAUUAGAAUGGAAGCUCUCUGAAGACGGGAUUAUUUCUGCAUUUCUCACUGCUGGGCCUUCUAGUAUCCAGCUCAGUUCCUGGCACAUCGUAGGCACUCAGUAACAGCAUAUUUGAAUGAAUGCAUAAAUGAAUGAAUGAGUACACACGUGCAUUUUCCUCAAGGGCUUCUGCUCCUCCCGAGGGCAGCUGCAGCUCGUACUGCUGUCUUGGGGCUCAGAGACAACAAGAAACUCACUAUCCCACCCGUGUGCUUGGGACUGAGCAGAGAGGGAGAACUGUGCAAGGGGCAAGCGGUUUCCAGUAGCGUCCAGUUCUUCUGCUCAGGUACGUGUCUGAGGGGAAGCUCGGACAUAGCAGGGAGCCAGAAAGCGUGAGAGGGGUCCUCUUCGGUGGCUGUAGAGACAAGGGGGCUGGGGCUUAGACUAAGGUCAGUAUUGCAGGUUGCUCGGAGUCUCUGGGGGUGUCAGACGGUUCCCAUCAGUCAGCCCGGCUGCUGGAGUGACUUCCAGGACCACCCCACUGCCGGGGGUUCUGGAAUGGGGAUCCUCUAGGGCUCAGGCACAGGGACAAGUGUUCCUUCCCAGCCUCAUGGGACUCCAUUUUCAACUGGGAAAUCCUUCUCCUUGCUAACAGCACCUGGGUUUUUGGGCCAAGGCUUUCCAAAGAUUGGCCUCCAAGACUUUAUGUGCAGGUAAUAACUUCCAGAGUCAUCCUGGUCCCCACAUGAUCACACCAAGGGAGUGUGUGUUUGUGUGUGUGUGUGUGCGUGCAUUUGCUGCGUCUUAAAAAAUAAAGGAGGGACAGAGUAUCACUCUGAAACCUGCAGUCUUUCUGGUACUUGGCAUCUGAAUCAGAGCCGCUGACUCUGUCCUGGAGGUGAAAACACGGCCUUGGAGCUCGAGGAUCAGGACUCUGUCUGCCGAACACCAGGGCCCCCUCUUUUAUUUCUGCUUCCCACCCUUCCCAGAGCGAGCAGGAGCAAAUGCUGACUAAUGCAUUCGUUGAGAGAACCCACUGCCUCUUCUCCCCAGAGCAAGGCCAGCGUGAGGGACAGUCAGUCUGCAGUUAGGAGCUGCUUCCCCAGAGAGAACACACGGUACCCACCCAGCCCUGCUUCCCGAGCAGAAGAUCUGGGCCGGGCAGCUCCAGCCAGAAAAGGACACCAGGUGUGGCAGA
Mustela erminea (ermine) is the source of this 8842-nucleotide RNA transcript. It is a transcript of the gene named RAB15, member RAS oncogene family, with no coding region annotated. Lineage: Eukaryota; Metazoa; Chordata; Mammalia; Carnivora; Mustelidae. The record is from RefSeq and is a predicted model, not a curated record. The transcript is spliced from 2 exons.